Molecule: ribosomal RNA, 498 nt
Filed under: uncultured bacterium
Lineage: Bacteria
Description: partial 16S ribosomal RNA
Rfam family: Bacterial small subunit ribosomal RNA
Source: RNAcentral
GAUGAACGCUGGCGGCGUGCCUAAUACAUGCAAGUCGAGCGAACAGAUGAGGAGCUUGCUCCUCUGACGUUAGCGGCGGACGGGUGAGUAACACGUGGAUAACCUACCUAUAAGACUGGGAUAACUUCGGGAAACCGGAGCUAAUACCGGAUAAUAUAUUGAACCGCAUGGUUCAAUAGUGAAAGACGGUUUUGCUGUCACUUAUAGAUGGAUCCGCGCCGCAUUAGCUAGUUGGUAAGGUAACGGCUUACCAAGGCAACGAUGCGUAGCCGACCUGAGAGGGUGAUCGGCCACACUGGAACUGAGACACGGUCCAGACUCCUACGGGAGGCAGCAGUAGGGAAUCUUCCGCAAUGGGCGAAGGCCUGACGGAGCAACGCCGCGUGAGUGAUGAAGGUCUUCGGAUCGUAAAACUCUGUUAUUAGGGAAGAACAAAUGUGUAAGUAACUAUGCACGUCUUGACGGUACCUAAUCAGAAAGCCACGGCUAACUACGUGC